GGGAGUUGUAUGUUUGUAUUUGGCAUUGUGUUCUAAAAUUUUUAUUACUAUUUACGUUACCAGUUGCACGUCGAUCAUAUACCUACUCUAUAUUUAUAUAUAUCCACAACUUUUAGAAUCACAUUCUCCUGCGAAUUGAAUAGAUUUUUUUUAUUUUUUUUUUGCAUUAAUUAGCACAUACAUAUAUGUAGUAUACUUGAGCUAAACCUCUUCAGCGCUUUUAGUUAAUUCAUCGAAGAAAAUCAGACUUAACACGUUAAAGAUGUUAUUGUCAUGUAUUGGUCAUAUUUGACCAGAAACAUUGGCAUAUUUUGUUCUCGUACGUACGUGUUAUCAUGUCAUUCACAAAUAUACCUAUAUAAUUGGACGGAAACCUUUUUUUUUUGUUUUUGUUGGUAGCAACAACGAAUUAUUAGUCUAUACUCUAUAAUAUUAUAAAUGAAAGAAAAAGGAGAAAAUGUUAGGGAAAAAGGUGAAGAAAGAUUAAAAAAAAAAAAGACAAAUAAAAAGGAAGGGAAGGUGCUAAUUAAACUGCUAAUGAUAGUCGUUGUGAUGUGCUAUAUGAUUAACACUUUUUACAUAUCUUUUUCGGUGCAUUAUUAUAUUGUAAUGAUAUUGGAUUAUAGUGAUCAGACAAGUUAAUUAUGCUUUUUCUAUAAGCAAGGGAAACGUAUUUACAAAAAAA
Molecule: long non-coding RNA, 685 nt
Filed under: Capsella rubella
Lineage: Eukaryota; Viridiplantae; Streptophyta; Magnoliopsida; Brassicales; Brassicaceae
Description: long non-coding RNA (CRUB_LNC003556)
Source: RNAcentral